RNAcentral lists this ribosomal RNA (508 nucleotides) under uncultured bacterium. Its description in RNAcentral is "partial 16S ribosomal RNA". It matches the Rfam family "Bacterial small subunit ribosomal RNA", at positions 30 to 523 of the family's 1533-position model. The record is from RNAcentral.
AUUGAACGCUGGCGGCAGGCUUAACACAUGCAAGUCGAACGGUAACAGGGAAAAAGCUUGCUUUUUCCGCUGACGAGUGGCGGACGGGUGAGUAAAGUAUGGGGAUCUGCCGAAUGGAGGGGGACAACUGCUGGAAACGGCAGCUAAUACCGCAUAAUGUCGCGAGACCAAAGCGUGGGACCUUAGGGCCACGUACCAUUUGAUGAACCCAUAUGGGAUUAGCUGGUUGGUGGGGUAAAGGCCUACCAAGGCGACGAUCUCUAGCUGGUCUGAGAGGAUGACCAGCCACACUGGAACUGAGACACGGUCCAGACUCCUACGGGAGGCAGCAGUGGGGAAUAUUGCACGAUGGGGGAAACCCUGAUGCAGCCAUGCCGCGUGUAUGAAGAAGGCCUUCGGGUUGUAAAGUACUUUCGGUAAUGAGGAAGGUGUGUUAUCUAACAGGUGACACAAUUGACGUUAGUUACAGAAGAAGCACCGGCUAACUCCGAGCCAGCAGCCGCAGUAA